RNAcentral lists this ribosomal RNA (468 nucleotides) under uncultured bacterium. RNAcentral describes it as "partial 16S ribosomal RNA". It matches the Rfam family "Bacterial small subunit ribosomal RNA", at positions 28 to 507 of the family's 1533-position model. The record is from RNAcentral.
GACGAACGCUGGCGGCGUGCUUAACACAUGCAAGUCGAACGGAAAGGCCCUGCUUUUGUGGGUUUCUCGAGUGGCGAACGGGUGAGUAACACGUGAGUAACCUGCCCUUGACUUUGGGAUAACUUCAGGAAACUGGGGCUAAUACCGGAUAGGAUCUCCUGCUGCAUGGUGGGGGUUGGAAAGUUUCGGCGGUUGGGGAUGGACUCGCGGCUUAUCAGCUUGUUUGUGGGGUAGUGGCUUACCAAGGCUUUGACGGGUAGCCGGCCUGAGAGGGUGACCGGCCACAUUGGGACUGAGAUACGGCCCAGACUCCUACGGGAGGCAGCAGUGGGGAAUAUUGCAUAAUGGGCGGAAGCCUGAUGCAGCAACGCCGCGUGCGGGAUGACGGCCUUCGGGUUGUAAACCGCUUUCGCAUGUGACGAAGCGUGAGUGACGGUAAUGGGUAAAGAAGCACCGGCUAACUACGUG